Molecule: ribosomal RNA, 58 nt
Filed under: Trichoderma asperellum
Lineage: Eukaryota; Fungi; Ascomycota; Sordariomycetes; Hypocreales; Hypocreaceae
Description: partial 28S ribosomal RNA
Source: RNAcentral
AAAUGUUGACCUCGGAUCAGGUAGGAAUACCCGCUGAACUUAAGCUACAAAAAAGGGG